GAUCCUGGCUCAGAAUCAACGCUGGCGGCGUGCCUAACACAUGCAAGUCGAACGCGAAAGUGSAGCAAKGCAUUAGUAGAGUGGCAAACGGGUGAGUAACACGUGGGUGACCUGCCUUCGAGCGGGGGAUAACGUCCCGAAAGGGACGCUAAUACCGCAUAACAUCCUGCCUUUUAAGAGGUGGAGAUCAAAGCCGGGGAUUCGCAAGAACCUGGCACUUGAAGAGGGGCCCGCGCCUGAUUAGCUAGUUGGUGGGGUAAUGGCCUACCAAGGCAACGAUCAGUAUCCGGCCUGAGAGGGCGGACGGACACACUGGGACUGAGACACGGCCCAGACUCCUACGGGAGGCAGCAG
Molecule: ribosomal RNA, 354 nt
Filed under: Acidobacteria bacterium enrichment culture clone C43_08_H11
Lineage: Bacteria; Pseudomonadati; Acidobacteriota
Description: bacterial SSU rRNA
Rfam family: Bacterial small subunit ribosomal RNA
Source: RNAcentral